AGGGUUUGAUUAUGGCUCAGGAUAAACGCUGGCGGCGCACAUAAGACAUGCAAGUCGAACGGAAGUCGUUAUAAAAAGGAUUGAAGAUUUAUCUGAUUGAGAUUUUAUAACAAUGGCUUUAGUGGCGGACUGGUGAGUAACACGUAAGCAACCUGCCUGUUAGAGGGGAACAACAGUUAGAAAUGACUGCUAAUACCGCAUAUGCCAUAGUAAGGACAUCCUUACAGUGGGAAAGGAGAAAUCCGCUAACAGAUGGGCUUGCGUCUGAUUAGAUAGUUGGUGGGGUAACGGCCUACCAAGUCGACGAUCAGUAGCCGGACUGAGAGGUUGAACGGCCACAUUGGGACUGAGAUACGGCCCAG
This 362-nucleotide ribosomal RNA is filed under the name uncultured bacterium. Its description in RNAcentral is "bacterial SSU rRNA". It matches the Rfam family "Bacterial small subunit ribosomal RNA", at positions 8 to 334 of the family's 1533-position model. The record is from RNAcentral.